CUGGAUCACAACUAGACCUGACAUUAGGUGGGUAUAAGCUGGGCACUUGCCCCAUGUGCUGCAAAGUAAUGUUUAUGUUCAAAGAGAACAUUGCACCCCAUGGAUUUCUCUUUUUCUAAAAAAUUCAAUGAUGAAAUGGUGUUGGCCAGUCCAUUCCAGAUCCCAUACAAGCACUGGAAACCAGCAGCGAGCUGCCAGAGUAACAGUAGAUAUAUCUCUGAACCCAAGUCCUUCAGUAAAUAAGGCAAUGUCCCCAGAAAUUCAAAUGUAAGCUCCAUGGAAAAGGGUCAGCUAAAGAAAAGACCAGUCUUCACAUGAGGUGCCAUAGCAACACAGAGCUUUUGCUUGCUCUCAAGACCAUCAUCGUUGGUUAUGUCAGUAUACUUUGAGGCUCCAAUUUUUCACAGUGACUUAAACAUGAAAAAGUGGCUAAUAGACUCUUGUUAGCCGGCAGUAAGGUGUUAUACGACAUGUGAAAUUUUCCAGGAAUAUAUAUAGAAGAUAAUGUACCCCUUACUGAAUUUUAUAAAGCUAAUAGAUGUCACAAGGAAGGCCUGAAGGCUGAGUGCUUUUAUAAAGGUCAUGGAA
Molecule: long non-coding RNA, 588 nt
Organism: Xenopus laevis (African clawed frog)
Lineage: Eukaryota; Metazoa; Chordata; Amphibia; Anura; Pipidae
Exons: 3
Source: RefSeq, a predicted model, not a curated record